GAUGAACGCUGGCGGCGUGCCUAAUACAUGCAAGUCGAGCGAACGGACGAGAAGCUUGCUUCUCUGAUGUUAGCGGCGGACGGGUGAGUAACACGUGGAUAACCUACCUAUAAGACUGGGAUAACUUCGGGAAACCGGAGCUAAUACCGGAUAAUAUUUUGAACCGCAUGGUUCAAAAGUGAAAGACGGUCUUGCUGUCACUUAUAGAUGGAUCCGCGCUGCAUUAGCUAGUUGGUAAGGUAACGGCUUACCAAGGCAACGAUGCAUAGCCGACCUGAGAGGGUGAUCGGACACCCUGGAACUGAGACACGGUCCAGACUCCUACGGGAGGCAGCAGUAGGGAAUCUUCCGCGAUGGGCGAAAGCCUGACGGAGGAACGCCGCGUGAGUGAUGAAGGUCUUCGGAUCGUAAAACUCUGUUAUUAGGGAAGAACAUAUGUGUAAGUAACUGUGCACAUCUUGACGGUACCUAAUCAGAAAGCCACGGCUAACUACGUG
This 497-nucleotide ribosomal RNA is filed under the name uncultured bacterium. RNAcentral's name for it is "partial 16S ribosomal RNA". It matches the Rfam family "Bacterial small subunit ribosomal RNA", at positions 28 to 507 of the family's 1533-position model. The record is from RNAcentral.